GAGGGUAUAGCUCAGUGGUAGCGCAUAUACUUAGCAUAUGCAAGGUCCUGGGUUCAAUUCCCUGUACCUCUA
This 72-nucleotide transfer RNA is filed under the name Camelus bactrianus (Bactrian camel). It matches the Rfam family "tRNA". Rfam says of the family: Transfer RNA (tRNA) molecules are approximately 80 nucleotides in length. Their secondary structure includes four short double-helical elements and three loops (D, anti-codon, and T loops). Further hydrogen bonds mediate the characteristic L-shaped molecular structure. tRNAs have two regions of fundamental functional importance: the anti-codon, which is responsible for specific mRNA codon recognition, and the 3' end, to which the tRNAs corresponding amino acid is attached (by aminoacyl-tRNA synthetases). tRNAs cope with the degeneracy of the genetic code in two manners: having more than one tRNA (with a specific anti-codon) for a particular amino acid; and 'wobble' base-pairing, i.e. permitting non-standard base-pairing at the 3rd anti-codon position. RNAcentral also lists the same sequence under 3 other names. Lineage: Eukaryota; Metazoa; Chordata; Mammalia; Artiodactyla; Camelidae. The record is from Rfam by way of RNAcentral.